UGACCGCUGGCGGCGUGCCUAAUACAUGCACGUCGAGCGAACGGACGAGAAGCUUGCUUCUCUGAUGUUAGCGGCGGACGGGUGAGUAACACGUGGAUAACCUACCUAUAAGACUGGGAUAACUUCGGGAAACCGGAGCUAAUACCGGAUAAUAUUUUGAACCGCAUGGUUCAAAAGUGAAAGACGGUCUUGCUGUCACUUAUAGAUGGAUCCGCGCUGCAUUAGCUAGUUGGUAAGGUAACGGCUUACCAAGGCAACGAUGCAUAGCCGACCUGAGAGGGUGAUCGGCCACACUGGAACUGAGACACGGUCCAGACUCCUACGGGAGGCAGCAGUAGGGAAUCUUCCGCAAAGGGCGAAAGCCUGACGGAGCAACGCCGCGUGAGUGAUGAAGGUCUUCGGAUCGUAAAACUCUGUUAUUAGGGAAGAACAUAUGUGUAAGUAACUGUGCACAUCUUGACGGUACCUAAUCAGAAAGCCACGGCUAACUACGUG
This 495-nucleotide ribosomal RNA is filed under the name uncultured bacterium. RNAcentral describes it as "partial 16S ribosomal RNA". It matches the Rfam family "Bacterial small subunit ribosomal RNA", at positions 30 to 507 of the family's 1533-position model. The record is from RNAcentral.